UACGUAGGGACCAAGCGUUGUUCGGAUUUACUGGGCGUAAAGGGCGCGUAGGCGGCAUGACAAGUCACUUGUGAAAUCUCUGGGCUUAACCCAGAACGGCCAAGUGAUACUGUCGCGCUAGAGUGCGGAAGGGGCAAUCGGAAUUCUCGGUGUAGCGGUGAAAUGCGUAGAUAUCGAGAGGAACACCAGUGGCGAAGGCGACUUCCUGGCCUGUUCUUGACGCUGAGGCGCGAAAGCUAGGGGAGCAAACGGG
RNAcentral lists this ribosomal RNA (253 nucleotides) under uncultured bacterium. RNAcentral describes it as "partial 16S ribosomal RNA". It matches the Rfam family "Bacterial small subunit ribosomal RNA", at positions 524 to 776 of the family's 1533-position model. The record is from RNAcentral.